UAUCUCUGUAGAGUCUGCAUAUCAAUAAGCGGAGGAAAAGAAACUAACAAGGAUUCCCUUAGUAACGGCGAGUGAAGCGGGAAGAGCUCAAAUUUGAAAUCUUCAAGGUUUUACCUUGACGAAUUGUAGUUUAAAGAAGUGUUUUCUGUUGAAGUUUCGGUAAAAGUUCUUUGGAAUAGGACAUCAUAGAGGGUGAGAAUCCCGUAUUUGACCGUUAUUUUCAGCUGUGUGAUACACUUUCAAAGAGUCGGAUUGUUUGGGAAUGCAGUCCAAAAUGGGUGGUAAAUUUCAUCUGAAGCUAUAUAUUGGCGAGGGACCGAUAGCGAACAAGUACCGUGAGGGAAAGAUGAAAAGAACUUUGAAAAGAGAGUUAAACAGUACGUGAAAUUGUCAAAAGGGAAGCGUUUGACACCAGUGUUGUUUUCUCGAAAAUCAAUUAAAAAUGGCUUGAUUUUGUGUUGUAUUGACCUUAAAAGCUUUCUUCACUUUUUUCAUGUCUUUUUUAAUGCACUUUUCGUUUAACAAGUCAACAUCAGUUUCUUUUGUUGUAAAAAGGUCAUUGGAAGGUGGCUUUCUUUUCGGAGAAAGUGUUUAUAGCCUUUGACUUCUGCAAUCGGAGAGACUGAGGUCUGCAGCGUAGAUCCUUCUGGAUUAGAUUCAUUUGUGCUAAGUUACAACCGUUUAUAGACAACUUGUUGACUAUAUUCGAUCCUGUAGCUUACUCGCUUAUGUAAUUUUACCUACGCUUAGGAUGUUGAAGAUGUAGCACAUCAU
Molecule: ribosomal RNA, 774 nt
Filed under: uncultured Neocallimastigales
Lineage: Eukaryota; Fungi; Neocallimastigomycota; Neocallimastigomycetes; Neocallimastigales
Description: partial large subunit ribosomal RNA
Rfam family: Eukaryotic large subunit ribosomal RNA
Source: RNAcentral